UGCAAAGCUAUUCUCUCAACAUGGUGCCAAAGUCCUCAUCGCUGACAUUCAAGAUGAAAAAGGUCACCUCAUUUGCAGGGACCUCGGCCCCUCUUCUGCUUCCUUCAUCCACUGUGAUGUCACUAAAGAACUGGAUGUGAGCAAUGCCAUCGACGAGGCCGUUGCUAAGCAUGGAAAGCUUGAUAUCAUGUUCAACAAUGCUGGUAUUUUAGGACCCAAAAUAAUUAAUAUAUUGGACAACGAUGCCGCAGAAUUUGAGAAUACAAUGCGUG
RNAcentral lists this long non-coding RNA (272 nucleotides) under Vitis vinifera (wine grape). RNAcentral describes it as "long non-coding RNA (VVIN_LNC001987)". Lineage: Eukaryota; Viridiplantae; Streptophyta; Magnoliopsida; Vitales; Vitaceae. The record is from RNAcentral.